Long non-coding RNA from Megalobrama amblycephala (Wuchang bream), 2754 nucleotides. RefSeq lists it as uncharacterized. NCBI's taxonomy places the organism in Eukaryota, Metazoa, Chordata, Actinopteri, Cypriniformes, Xenocyprididae. The transcript has 3 exons. The record is from RefSeq and is a predicted model, not a curated record.
UUACAGGUUUAAAUUAUAUUUUUAUAUGGCAAAUUUUCAUUGUGGUCUCAGACUUGAAGAGAAAAGAAUAUUGUGACAAUCUUCAAACCUUUAAUUUGAAUCUUUCUCAUUGAAUAGCAUGACUAAGACAUGUUUCUCUGAGUCACAUAGGAGACUUAUAGUCCCAGUUUUCGCCUCAUUUAAGCAUCCUGUAAAAUCAGCGGUGGUUGAAGAGCCGGUGGGUCGUCAGAGGGGCGGCAGCUCUAGCUGACCGGCCGCUGUUUGUGUAUUGUAAGGAGGGCUGUAGGGAAGCACAGAGCUGCGCUGUGUUUCUCAGUCGGCGGGGGUAAAAUACAGGGCUUGUGCGAGCUUCCACGCGGCGCGGUCCACGGCACACGGAGAUGACUCACUAUUCUUACGUGACUAACAACUAAAAUAUGGCAGUUUAAAAGAAGUUUCAGUGGUGCCCUAGUUCCAUAUGGCUGUGGAGAGAGAGAUGGGCAGGUAGAGUUGUCAUUUCUUCCACCCCUCUGCAUAUCUCUUUCUUUACGUCUGUCUUUUAUUUCACUGGAAAGGUGACGCUCUGAAAUAUUAAACAGCCAAGUGUCCCUCUGUGGUGUUGGGUUUCCCAGAGUUGAUGAGAAUUCAGGUACUUUCUCCAAGAUGGUGAGUUAGGGGUUUAUGACGAAGAUGAGACAUGGUGAGUUGUGGCAGCGCUCCUGAGAUGCUGGAACUGGAUCAAAAACACCAAUCUUUUCAUUUUUAGCACAUUUCCAUAAAUUAUCCUGAAAAAGUUAACAGGGAGACAUUUGAAUUUGAAAGCAAGGACCUAAUAUUAGUAUAUAAAAUAAAUAUAUAUAUAUGUAAGUUGUUUGGAGUGAUAAAAUUGUUUUAAUACUAACUUCUAAUAUUAAAAACUGAUUUAUCCAGCUGUAUUGAUUUUAAUUUGACUCUUAUACUUAAUAUCAGUUUGUUGAGGCUAUCGAGAGAUGAGGUUUGUUUUAUGUCGUCAUAAACGGCAUGUGCGUGUUUGACAAUGGUGGACCCGUUCAGAAAAGUGUUUAGACUGCUUGGUAGAACGGGAGCGAAUUCUUCACUGAAAGACACUAACUAACGUUCCUCGGUCACAUAAGUAGGGGAGUUUCCUGCUCCUAAAGAUCCGAGGCACAGCCUAGGCGUUUUUCACCGUGACUGCCGGCUUUUCUCUCUCUCCCUUCCUCCCUUUCGCUCUCCCCCUUCUUUUUUUCUGAAUGGGUGUCCUCUCUCUAACCUCUCAAUUCACAGCAGCAUUGAAACAGGACACUACCCUGAACACUGAUAGGCUGCGGGCAAAUCGCUCAGCCCCUCGACCUGACACUAUAAGUACUCUGGCAAUCCGUCUCCAGUGUAUGACUGACUGUUUAGAGGGAGAGAGAGAGAGAGAAAGACGGGCAGAUAGAGAGAGAGUGGGAGGGGGCGGUAGAGAGUUUAAAUUCAGUGACAGUGAUAAUGAUAUUAUUCGGUCUCCGCUGAAACGGGGAAGCACUUUCAGAGUCUACGGCACACUUCCUCUGUCUCUAUCGCUUUAAGAGUGUUACUGAUUAGUCGCUAAAGAAUGCGAGUGGAAAGAGAGAGAGAGAGAAAAAAAGGGACAGAGGCAGGAGGGAGAGACAGACCGAGAGUGUUGGAGCCUGGGAACUCGUAUGGAGAAGACUGAUAAUAUUGAGCUGAGUAGAGAUUUGUUUUAUUUUCCAGCAGUUCAGAGACGUUAAAGGAGCUCUCACUCUCUCUCUCUGAAUUUGCUGCUCCUGAAGAGGCUGGACGAAGGGGGAAGUCGGGGACCCCGCACAUGCAGGCAGCGCUCAGCCAUCAGGAAAUACUCUUUUCACCCAGACAGAGGUUAUUCAGACUGGCUCUUAGUCUAUUCAGAUCACACGAUGCUCCACGUCUUCAUUUCAAUUUAGGCGCUGAGGACGGCUCGAGUGGACGACCGCUGCCGGUGGCUUUUUAGGGUGCUCAUGAGGUGCUCAGUAGUCAGUGUAGAUCCUGUGUUGCAAUCAGCAGCUACAUCUGGCUACUGGGUCUCUGAUGGCAUUUUCUGCUUCCUGUUGGCACAUUCCUUUUAGAUUGUGUGGUAUGUUAUCACAAUGUGUGCUUCAUCCUGUCAGAAUAGGACUCGCUCUUUCAUGGACGUUAAAGAGGGCCCUUGUCAUAACAGUCUGUCUCUUUGACCAGACCGAAUCGGCGCUGUUUUUGCACUUUUAGCCUUGUUCAUUGUGGGUUUUUUCCCCUAAAACAAUUUGAUCAAGGUGAGUGAACUCUCACAGCAUAGCUAAAAGCCUCGAGAAACCAUUUCAGAUGUCUUUGAACGGAAGGAAUGAGACAUUGUUUCUUGUUUGACUGCUGAAGAUUCGGUUUAAGUGAUUAGGUAACAAAGGACAAGGCGACAUGUCACAUUCCCUUUGUGUUUUGCCUGUCACAAGGGGCUGUCUUUGUGAAAAUGUUUUUGAGUUGCUGAAGGCUGACAAAUAAUGAGAGUUAAAUGCGCAGACAUGCUGAAUCGCAUCAGAUUUGGAAAGCGAAGGAUGAAUUCUUUUGUGCUGUCAUGAACCUGGCAUACAAUGUAGAUUUCUGUGUGGUACAAUCUACAGCUACAUUGUCUGCUGGGUUUCAGGCCAGUAGAAAAAUUCUGCUCUGCUCAGAAAUUGAAUAGGUGAGUCUUUUAGUCAUUAUGCAUGUUUGAAAAAGACAUAUUCCUACUAUGAGAGUAAAAUAAAAGUACUAAAAGUAUACAAA